RNAcentral lists this ribosomal RNA (869 nucleotides) under Bacillus sp. RKEM 441. Its description in RNAcentral is "bacterial SSU rRNA". It matches the Rfam family "Bacterial small subunit ribosomal RNA", at positions 22 to 873 of the family's 1533-position model. The record is from RNAcentral. Lineage: Bacteria; Bacillati; Bacillota; Bacilli; Caryophanales; Bacillaceae.
GCUCAGGACGAACGCUGGCGGCGUGCCUAAUACAUGCAAGUCGAGCGGACUUGCUGGAGCUUGCUCCCGGAGGUUAGCGGCGGACGGGUGAGUAACACGUGGGCAACCUGCCUGUAAGACUGGGAUAACUCCGGGAAACCGGAGCUAAUACCGGAUAGUAUCUUGAACCGCAUGGUUCAAGUUGGAAAGACGGUUUCGGCUGUCACUUACAGAUGGGCCCGCGGCGCAUUAGCUAGUUGGUGAGGUAAUGGCUCACCAAGGCAACGAUGCGUAGCCGACCUGAGAGGGUGAUCGGCCACACUGGGACUGAGACACGGCCCAGACUCCUACGGGAGGCAGCAGUAGGGAAUCUUCCGCAAUGGACGAAAGUCUGACGGAGCAACGCCGCGUGAGUGAUGAAGGUUUUCGGAUCGUAAAACUCUGUUGUUAGGGAAGAACAAGUGCGAGAGUAACUGCUCGCACCUUGACGGUACCUAACCAGAAAGCCACGGCUAACUACGUGCCAGCAGCCGCGGUAAUACGUAGGUGGCAAGCGUUGUCCGGAAUUAUUGGGCGUAAAGCGCGCGCAGGCGGUUUCUUAAGUCUGAUGUGAAAGCCCCCGGCUCAACCGGGGAGGGUCAUUGGAAACUGGGAAACUUGAGUGCAGAAGAGGAGAGUGGAAUUCCACGUGUAGCGGUGAAAUGCGUAGAGAUGUGGAGGAACACCAGUGGCGAAGGCGACUCUCUGGUCUGUAACUGACGCUGAGGCGCGAAAGCGUGGGGAGCGAACAGGAUUAGAUACCCUGGUAGUCCACGCCGUAAACGAUGAGUGCUAAGUGUUAGAGGGUUUCCGCCCUUUAGUGCUGCAGCUAACGCAUUAAGCACUCCGCC